AACGAGGGGGACAAGCGUUAUUCGUCAUGACUGGGCGUAAAAGGUUCGUAGACGGUAAAAUAAGUUUCUGGUAAAAAAUUAAAGCCUAACUUUUAAAAUGCCUAAGAAAUACUGUUUUACUUGAGUUUUAAUACAGGAGAAUAUAAUUUUAUUUGUAAAGGUAAAAUUUAACUAUAAAUAAAGGAAUGCCUGUAGUGAAGACGAUUCUCUAGUAAAAACUGACGUUGAGGAACGAAAGUUUGGGUAUCAAACAGG
Molecule: ribosomal RNA, 255 nt
Filed under: uncultured bacterium
Lineage: Bacteria
Description: partial 16S ribosomal RNA
Rfam family: Bacterial small subunit ribosomal RNA
Source: RNAcentral